RNAcentral lists this ribosomal RNA (495 nucleotides) under uncultured bacterium. Its description in RNAcentral is "partial 16S ribosomal RNA". It matches the Rfam family "Bacterial small subunit ribosomal RNA", at positions 28 to 507 of the family's 1533-position model. The record is from RNAcentral.
GAUGAACGCUGGCGGCGUGCCUAAUACAUGCAAGUAGAACGCUGAAGUAGGAGCUUGCUCUUCUGGAUGAGUUGCGCACGGGUGAGUAUCGCGUAGGUAACCUGCCUCGUAGCGGGGGAUAACUCUUGGAAACGAUAGCUCAUACCGCAUGACAACUGUUAUUGCAUGAGAAUUGUUUAAAAGGGGCAACUGCUCCACUACCAGAUGGACCUGCGUUGCAUUAGGUAGUUGUUGAGGUAACAGCUCACCAAGGCGACGAUACAUAGUCGACCUGAGAGGGGGAUCGGCCACACUGGGAAUGAGACACGGGCCCGGCUCCUACGGGAAGCAGCAGUAGGGAAAUCUCGGCAAUUGGGCGAAGUCUGACCGAGCAACGCCGCGGGGGGUAAGAAAGGUCUCGGGUCGUAAAGAUCUGUUGAAAGAGAAGAACGAGAGGUGUAGUUGAAAGUUCACGCUGUGACGGUAUCUUACCAGAAAGGGACGGCUAACUACGUG